RNAcentral lists this unclassified non-coding RNA (413 nucleotides) under soil metagenome. Its description in RNAcentral is "partial contains 5.8S ribosomal RNA, internal transcribed spacer 2, and large subunit ribosomal RNA". The stretch from base 1 to 120 matches the Rfam family "5.8S ribosomal RNA", at positions 35 to 154 of the family's 154-position model. The record is from RNAcentral.
GAUGAAGAACGUAGUGAAAUGCGAUAAGUAAUGUGAAUUGCAGAAUUCAGUGAAUCAUCGAAUCUUUGAACGCACCUUGCGCUCUUUGGUAUUCCGAAGAGCAUGCCUGUUUGAGUAUCAUGAAAAUAUCAACCUUGACUUGGGUUUUGUGCUCUAGUCUCGGCUUGGAAUUGGGUGCUUGCCGCUUUUACGAGCGGCUCACCUUAAAUGUAUUAGCUGGAUCUGUCUUUGAGACUUGGUUUGACUUGGCGUAAUAAGUAUUUCGCUAAGGACAUUCUUCGGAGUGGCCUCGUUUCUAGGACGCUUGUCCGCUUUCCAAUACAAGUUCCACCUCGUGGACAUGACUUUUUAUUAUCUGGCCUCAAAUCAGGUAGGACUACCCGCUGAACUUAAGCAUAUCAAUAAGCGGAGGA